Molecule: ribosomal RNA, 253 nt
Filed under: uncultured Ktedonobacter sp.
Lineage: Bacteria; Bacillati; Chloroflexota; Ktedonobacteria; Ktedonobacterales; Ktedonobacteraceae
Description: partial 16S ribosomal RNA
Rfam family: Bacterial small subunit ribosomal RNA
Source: RNAcentral
UACGUAGGGGGCAAGCGUUGUCCGGAUUUAUUGGGCGUAAAGCGCACGCAGGCGGUCGAGGAAGUUCAGGGUGACAGUUCCCGGCUCAACUGGGGAAGGACCUUGAAAACUCCUGGACUUGAGGGCUUCAGAGGGACACGGAAUUCCGGGUGUAGUGGUGAAAUGCGUAGAUAUCCGGAGGAACACCAAAGGCGAAGGCAGUGUCCUGGGAAGUCUCUGACGCUCAGGUGCGAAAGCUAGGGGAGCGAACGGG